This 253-nucleotide ribosomal RNA is filed under the name uncultured bacterium. Its description in RNAcentral is "partial 16S ribosomal RNA". It matches the Rfam family "Bacterial small subunit ribosomal RNA", at positions 524 to 776 of the family's 1533-position model. The record is from RNAcentral.
UACGUAGGUGGCAAGCGUUAUCCGGAUUUAUUGGGUGUAAAGGGCGUGUAGGCGGGAAUGCAAGUCAGAUGUGAAAACUCAGGGCUCAACCCUGAGCCUGCAUUUGAAACUGUAUUUCUUGAGUGCUGGAGAGGCAAUCGGAAUUCCGUGUGUAGCGGUGAAAUGCGUAGAUAUACGGAGGAACACCAGUGGCGAAGGCGGAUUGCUGGACAGUAACUGACACUGAGGCGCGAAAGCGUGGGGAGCAAACAGG